This 230-nucleotide ribosomal RNA is filed under the name uncultured bacterium. RNAcentral describes it as "partial 16S ribosomal RNA". It matches the Rfam family "Bacterial small subunit ribosomal RNA", at positions 15 to 236 of the family's 1533-position model. The record is from RNAcentral.
GAUCCUGGCUCAGGAUGAACGCUAGCUACAGGCUUAACACAUGCAAGUCGAGGGGCAGCAUGAACUUAGCUUGCUAAGUUUGAUGGCGACCGGCGCACGGGUGAGUAACACGUAUCCAACCUGCCUACCACUUGGGGAUAACCUUGCGAAAGUAAGACUAAUACCCAAUGACAUCCCACGGAGACAUCUGAAUGGGAUUAAAGAUUUAUCGGUGAUGGAUGGGGAUGCGU